CCCUUAGAUGUUCUGGGCAGCACGCGCGCUACAAUGGUCUUCGCAAACGGAUGCAUUCUCGAAGGAGAAUGCCAAUCUUGGAAUCUAUGCCUUGGUCGGGACAGAUGCUUGCAAUUUUUCGACUCGAACCAGGAAUUCCUUGUAAUCGUGAUUCAUCACAUCACGAUGAAUACGUCCCUGCCCUUUGUACACACCGCCCGUCGCUCCUACCGAUCGAAGAGUUAGGUGAAUUGUUUUGAUCGAUAAGAUUUGACUAUGGUCAACUCUCGUUGUGAAAUUCUGUGAAUCUGACUGUUUAGAGGAAGGAAAAGUCGUAACA
This 319-nucleotide ribosomal RNA is filed under the name uncultured eukaryote. Its description in RNAcentral is "partial 18S ribosomal RNA". It matches the Rfam family "Eukaryotic small subunit ribosomal RNA", at positions 1470 to 1796 of the family's 1831-position model. The record is from RNAcentral.